AAAUUGAAGAGUUUGAUCAUGGCUCAGAUUGAACGCCGGCGGCAGGCCUAACACAUGCAAGUCGAACGGUAACAGGAAGCAGCUUGCUGCUUCGCUGACGAGUGGCGGACGGGUGAGUAAUGUCUGGGAAACUGCCUGAUGGAGGGGGAUAACUACUGGAAACGGUGGCUAAUACCGCAUAACGUCGCAAGACCAAAGAGGGGGACCUUCGGGCCUCUUGCCAUCAGAUGUGCCCAGAUGGGAUUAGCUUGUUGGUGAGGUAACGGCUCACCAAGGCGACGAUCCCUAGCUGGUCUGAGAGGAUGACCAGCCACACUGGAACUGAGACACGGUCCAGACUCCUACGGGAGGCAGCAGUGGGGAAUAUUGCACAAUGGGCGCAAGCCUGAUGCAGCCAUGCCGCGUGUAUGAAGAAGGCCUUCGGGUUGUAAAGUACUUUCAGCGGGGAGGAAGGUGUUGUGGUUAAUAACC
Molecule: ribosomal RNA, 471 nt
Filed under: Salmonella enterica
Lineage: Bacteria; Pseudomonadati; Pseudomonadota; Gammaproteobacteria; Enterobacterales; Enterobacteriaceae
Description: bacterial SSU rRNA
Rfam family: Bacterial small subunit ribosomal RNA
Source: RNAcentral